This 498-nucleotide ribosomal RNA is filed under the name Bifidobacterium breve. Its description in RNAcentral is "bacterial SSU rRNA". It matches the Rfam family "Bacterial small subunit ribosomal RNA", at positions 190 to 698 of the family's 1533-position model. Lineage: Bacteria; Bacillati; Actinomycetota; Actinomycetes; Bifidobacteriales; Bifidobacteriaceae. The record is from RNAcentral.
CAUGGUGUCUGGGAAAGCCUUUGCGGCAUGGGAUGGGGUCGCGUCCUAUCAGCUUGAUGGCGGGGUAACGGCCCACCAUGGCUUCGACGGGUAGCCGGCCUGAGAGGGCGACCGGCCACAUUGGGACUGAGAUACGGCCCAGACUCCUACGGGAGGCAGCAGUGGGGAAUAUUGCACAAUGGGCGCAAGCCUGAUGCAGCGACGCCGCGUGAGGGAUGGAGGCCUUCGGGUUGUAAACCUCUUUUGUUAGGGAGCAAGGCAUUUUGUGUUGAGUGUACCUUUCGAAUAAGCACCGGCUAACUACGUGCCAGCAGCCGCGGUAAUACGUAGGGUGCAAGCGUUAUCCGGAAUUAUUGGGCGUAAAGGGCUCGUAGGCGGUUCGUCGCGUCCGGUGUGAAAGUCCAUCGCUUAACGGUGGAUCCGCGCCGGGUACGGGCGGGCUUGAGUGCGGUAGGGGAGACUGGAAUUCCCGGUGUAACGGUGGAAUGUGUAGAUAUC